UACGGAAUGUGCAAACGUUAUUCGGAAUCACUGGGCUUAAAGAGUCCGUAGGCGGCAUGUUAGGUGAGGUGUGAAGUCCCCCGGCUCAACCGAGGAAUUGCGCUUCAAACCGGCGUGCUCGAGGAAGAUAGAGGUGGGCGGAACUGAUGGUGGAGCGGUGAAAUGCGUUGAUAUCAUUAGGAACACCAGAGGCGAAGGCGGCUCACUGGGUCUCAACUGACGCUGAUGCACGAAAGCUAGGGUAGCGAACGGG
RNAcentral lists this ribosomal RNA (253 nucleotides) under uncultured bacterium. Its description in RNAcentral is "partial 16S ribosomal RNA". It matches the Rfam family "Bacterial small subunit ribosomal RNA", at positions 524 to 776 of the family's 1533-position model. The record is from RNAcentral.